RNAcentral lists this ribosomal RNA (497 nucleotides) under uncultured bacterium. Its description in RNAcentral is "partial 16S ribosomal RNA". It matches the Rfam family "Bacterial small subunit ribosomal RNA", at positions 28 to 507 of the family's 1533-position model. The record is from RNAcentral.
GAUGAACGCUGGCGGCGUGCCUAAUACAUGCAAGUCGAGCGAACGGACGAGAAGCUUGCUUCUCUGAUGUUAGCGGCGGACGGGUGAGUAACACGUGGAUAACCUACCUAUAAGACUGGGAUAACUUCGGGAAACCGUAGCUAAUACCGGAUAAUAUUUUGAACCGCAUGGUUCAAAAGUGAAAGACGGUCUUGCUGUCACUUAUAGAUGGAUCCGCGCUGCAUUAGCUAGUUGGUAAGGUAACGGCUUACCAAGGCAACGAUGCAUAGCCGACCUGAGAGGGUGAUCGGCCACCCUGGAACCGAGACACGGUCCCGACCUCUACGGGAGGCAGCCGGUGGGAAUCUUCCGCAAAGGGCGAAAGCCUUACGGAGCAACGCCGCGUGAGUGAUGAAGGUCUUCGGAUCGUAAAACUCUGUUAUUAGGGAAGAACAUAUGUGUAAGUAACUGUGCACAUCUUGACGGUACCUAAUCAGAAAGCCACGGCUAACUACGUG